Molecule: ribosomal RNA, 159 nt
Filed under: Colletotrichum cereale
Lineage: Eukaryota; Fungi; Ascomycota; Sordariomycetes; Glomerellales; Glomerellaceae
Description: 5.8S ribosomal RNA
Rfam family: 5.8S ribosomal RNA
About the family: 5.8S ribosomal RNA (5.8S rRNA) is a component of the large subunit of the eukaryotic ribosome. It is transcribed by RNA polymerase I as part of the 45S precursor that also contains 18S and 28S rRNA. Functionally, it is thought that 5.8S rRNA may be involved in ribosome translocation.
Source: RNAcentral
AACUUUUAACAACGGAUCUCUUGGUUCUGGCCAUCGAUGAAGAACGCAGCGAAAUGCGAUAAGUAAUGUGAAUUGCAGAAUUCAGUGAAUCAUCGAAUCUUUGAACGCACAUUGCGCCCGCCAGCAUUCUGGCGGACAUGCCUGUUCGAGGCGUCAUUU